This 254-nucleotide ribosomal RNA is filed under the name uncultured bacterium. RNAcentral's name for it is "partial 16S ribosomal RNA". It matches the Rfam family "Bacterial small subunit ribosomal RNA", at positions 524 to 776 of the family's 1533-position model. The record is from RNAcentral.
GACGUAGGGCGCGAGCGUUUGUCCGGAUUUAUUGGGCGUAAAGGGCUCGUAGGCGGUUUGUCACGUCAGGAGUGAAAACUCGGGGCUCAACCCCGAGCCUGCUUCUGAUACGGGCAGACUGGAGGUAUGCAGGGGAGAACGGAAUUCCUGGUGUAGCGGUGAAAUGCGCAGAUAUCAGGAGGAACACCGGUGGCGAAGGCGGGUCUCUGGGCCGAUACUGACGUGAGGAGCGAAAGCCGUGGGGAGCGAACAGG